Panicum virgatum (switchgrass) is the source of this 517-nucleotide long non-coding RNA. RefSeq lists it as uncharacterized. NCBI's taxonomy places the organism in Eukaryota, Viridiplantae, Streptophyta, Magnoliopsida, Poales, Poaceae. The transcript is spliced from 2 exons. The record is from RefSeq and is a predicted model, not a curated record.
CUUGCCAACCUAAUCCUCGAGCAUAUUAUCUGCCACUGCUCGAUAAUCACCGUGUUCGGCUGGUGGGUAGGGCUCCAGCCCUACAGUAAUUCCCUCUCACACCACUCCAGCUCCAGUCUCCAGCCACCAGCCAGAAGACAAGGAAAAAAAAUCCCCCAAGUUAACGAUUGCUUAACUUAAAGCAUGCCAGCUACUACCUUUGUGCUUGUGCGUUUCGCCUGCAACUCGUUGAUACUGACUGCACAGUUUAGGAACAUGGGAUGAGAAAAGCCUCAAAUGUUGGGCUAAUUCUGAUUGGCUGAUGCCUGACGAAUCGACGUCUUCAAUUGCCACUGUGAUCCGUGACGUUCUUUGUUCGGUCGAAACUCCGAAAGGAUGCAAGCGCGCGUCAUAGAUUCUUUUGGUCUGCAAUUAUCUCAGCACCUGAAAAUGAGGGGUAAAAGGAAUCUCCAUGUGUCCAGCAAUGAAAGGUCUCAGUUGAAAUGCAAAUGAGAUUCUGAUUGUUUGAGAUCUUCAA